RNAcentral lists this ribosomal RNA (492 nucleotides) under uncultured bacterium. RNAcentral describes it as "partial 16S ribosomal RNA". It matches the Rfam family "Bacterial small subunit ribosomal RNA", at positions 29 to 507 of the family's 1533-position model. The record is from RNAcentral.
AGUGAACGCUGGCGGUAGGCCUAACACAUGCAAGUCGAACGGCAGCACAGUAAGAGCUUGCUCUUACGGGUGGCGAGUGGCGGACGGGUGAGGAAUACAUCGGAAUCUACUUUUUCGUGGGGGAUAACGUAGGGAAACUUACGCUAAUACCGCAUACGACCUACGGGUGAAAGCAGGGGAUCUUCGGACCUUGCGCGAUUGAAUGAGCCGAUGUCGGAUUAGCUAGUUGGCGGGGUAAAGGCCCACCAAGGCGACGAUCCGUAGCUGGUCUGAGAGGAUGAUCCGCCACACUGGAACUGGGGCACGGUCCCGACUCCUACGGGAGGCAGCAGUGGGGAAUAUUGGACAAUGGGCGCAAGCCUGAUCCAGCCAUACCGCGUGGGUGAAGAAGGCCUUCGGGUUGUAAAGCCCUUUUGUUGGGAAAGAAAAGCAGCAGGUUAAUACCCCGCUGUUCUGACGGUACCCAAAGAAUAAGCACCGGCUAACUUCGUG